This 497-nucleotide ribosomal RNA is filed under the name uncultured bacterium. Its description in RNAcentral is "partial 16S ribosomal RNA". It matches the Rfam family "Bacterial small subunit ribosomal RNA", at positions 28 to 507 of the family's 1533-position model. The record is from RNAcentral.
GACGAACGCUGGCGGCGUGCCUAAUACAUGCAAGUUGAGCGCUGAAGGUUGGUACUUGUACCAACUGGAUGAGCAGCGAACGGGUGAGUAACGCGUGGGGAAUCUGCCUUUGAGCGGGGGACAACAUUUGGAAACGAAUGCUAAUACCGCAUAAAAACUUUAAACACAAGUUUUAAGUUUGAAAGAUGCAAUUGCAUCACUCAAAGAUGAUCCCGCGUUGUAUUAGCUAGUUGGUGAGGUAAAGGCUCACCAAGGCGAUGAUACAUAGCCGACCUGAGAGGGUGAUCGGCCACAUUGGGACUGAGACACGGCCCAAACUCCUACGGGAGGCAGCAGUAGGGAAUCUUAGGCAAUGGACGAAAGUCUGACCGAGCAACGCCGCGUGAGUGAAGAAGGUUUUCGGAUCGUAAAACUCGGUUGGUAGAGAAGAACGGUGGUGAGAGUGGAAAGCUCAUCAAGUGACGGUAACUACCCAGAAAGGGACGGCUAACUACGUG